CGGUUUGGGUGGCGGACGGGUGAGUAACGCGUAAAGAACUUGCCUCACAGUUAGGGACAACAUUUGGAAACGAAUGCUAAUACCUGAUAUUAUGAUUUUAGGGCAUCCUAAGAUUAUGAAAGCUAUAUGCGCUGUGAGAGAGCUUUGCGUCCCAUUAGCUAGUUGGAGAGGUAACGGCUCACCAAGGCGAUGAUGGGUAGCCGGCCUGAGAGGGUGAACGGCCACAAGGGGACUGAGACACGGCCCUUACUCCUACGGGAGGCAGCAGUGGGGAAUAUUGGACAAUGGACCAAAAGUCUGAUCCAGCAAUUCUGUGUGCACGAUGACGUUUUUCGGAAUGUAAAGUGCUUUCGGUUGGGAAGAAAAAAAUGACGGUACCAACAGAAGAAGUGACGGCUAAAUACGUGCCAGCAGCCGCGGUAAUACGUAUGUCACAAGCGUUAUCCGGAUUUAUUGGGCGUAAAGCGUGUCUAGGUGGUUAUGUAAGUCUGAUGUGAAAAUGCAGGGCUCAACUCUGUAUUGCGUUGGAAACUGCGUAACUAGAGUACUGGAGAGGUAAGCGGAACUACAAGUGUAGAGGUGAAAUUCGUAGAUAUUUGUAGGAAUGCCGAUGGGGAAGCCAGCUUACUGGACAGAUACUGACGCUAAAGCGCGAAAGCGU
RNAcentral lists this ribosomal RNA (661 nucleotides) under uncultured bacterium. Its description in RNAcentral is "bacterial SSU rRNA". It matches the Rfam family "Bacterial small subunit ribosomal RNA", at positions 87 to 762 of the family's 1533-position model. The record is from RNAcentral.